GACGAACGCUGGCGGCGUGCUUAACACAUGCAAGUCGAACGGAAAGGCCCUGCUUUUGUGGGGUGCUCGAGUGGCGAACGUGUGAGUAACACGUGUGUAACCUGCCCUUGACUUUGGGAUAACUUCAGGUAACUGGGGCUAAUACCGGAUAUGAUCUCCUGCUGCAUGUUGGGGGUUGGUAAUUUUCGGGGUUUGGGGAUGGACUGGCGGCUUAUCAGCUUUUUGGUGGGGUAGUGGCUUACCAAGGGUUUGACGGGUAGCCGGCCUGAGAGGGUGACCGGCGAAAUUGGGACUGAGAUACGGAACAGAGGGCAACGGGAGGCAGCAGUGGGGAAUAGUGCACAAUGGGAGGAAGCGAGAUGAAGAAACGCCGCGAGCGGGAUGACGGGCUUCGGGUUGUAAACAGAAUUCGAAUGAGACGAAGAGUGAGUGACGGUAAUGGGUAAAGAAGCAACGGCUAACUACGUG
RNAcentral lists this ribosomal RNA (468 nucleotides) under uncultured bacterium. RNAcentral describes it as "partial 16S ribosomal RNA". It matches the Rfam family "Bacterial small subunit ribosomal RNA", at positions 28 to 507 of the family's 1533-position model. The record is from RNAcentral.